RNAcentral lists this transfer RNA (73 nucleotides) under Erwinia phage KEY. RNAcentral describes it as "tRNA-Pro". It matches the Rfam family "tRNA". From Rfam's summary of the family: Transfer RNA (tRNA) molecules are approximately 80 nucleotides in length. Their secondary structure includes four short double-helical elements and three loops (D, anti-codon, and T loops). Lineage: Duplodnaviria; Heunggongvirae; Uroviricota; Caudoviricetes; Demerecviridae. The record is from RNAcentral.
GCCGUCUUAGCAAAAAUGGAAAUGCGCUUCCCUUGGGUGGGAGGAUGUAUAGGUUCGAAUCCUAUAGUCGGUA